UAAGGAAUAUUGGUCAAUGGACGCAAGUCUGAACCAGCCAUGCCGCGUGGAGGAUGAAGGCCCUCUGGGUUGUAAACUUCUUUUAUAUGGGACGAAACCCUCUCAUUCUUGAGAGACUGACGGUACCAUAGGAAUAAGCACCGGCUAACUCCGUGCCAGCAGCCGCGGUAAUACGGAGGGUGCAAGCGUUAUCCGGAUUCACUGGGUUUAAAGGGUGCGUAGGAGGGCAGGUAAGUCAGUGGUGAAAUCCCCGAGCUUAACUUGGGAACUGCCGUUGAUACUAUCUGUCUUGAAUAUUGUGGAGGUGAGCGGAAUAUGUCAUGUAGCGGUGAAAUGCUUAGAUAUGACAUAGAACACCAAUUGCGAAGGCAGCUCGCUACACAAAUAUUGACUCUGAGGCACGAAAGCGUGGGGAUCAAACAGGAUUAGAUACCCUGGUAGUCCACGCCCUAAACGAUGGAUACUCGACAUACGCGAUACACAGUGUGUGUCUGAGCGAAAGCAUUAGUAUCCCACCUGGGAAGUACGACCGCAAGGUUGAAACUCAAAUGAAUUGACGGGGUCAUAGCUGUUUCCUG
Molecule: ribosomal RNA, 578 nt
Filed under: uncultured bacterium
Lineage: Bacteria
Description: partial 16S ribosomal RNA
Rfam family: Bacterial small subunit ribosomal RNA
Source: RNAcentral